This 506-nucleotide ribosomal RNA is filed under the name uncultured bacterium. RNAcentral's name for it is "bacterial SSU rRNA". It matches the Rfam family "Bacterial small subunit ribosomal RNA", at positions 9 to 526 of the family's 1533-position model. The record is from RNAcentral.
GAGUUUGAUCCUGGCUCAGGACGAACGCUGGCGGCGCGCCUAACACAUGCAAGUCGAACGGAGCUGAGAGGAGCUUGCUUUUCUUAGCUUAGUGGCGAACGGGUGAGUAACGCGUGAGUAACCUGCCCUGGAGUGGGGGACAACAGUUGGAAACGACUGCUAAUACCGCAUAAGCCCACGAUCCGGCAUCGGAUUGUGGGAAAAGGAUUUAUUCGCUUCAGGAUGGACUCGCGUCCGAUUAGCUAGUUGGUGAGGUAACGGCCCACCAAGGCAACGAUCGGUAGCCGGACUGAGAGGUUGAACGGCCACAUUGGGACUGAGACACGGCCCAGACUCCUACGGGAGGCAGCAGUGGGGAAUAUUGCACAAUGGGGGAAACCCUGAUGCAGCGACGCCGCGCGGAGGAAGAAGGUUUUCGGUAUGUAAAGCUCUAUCAGCAGGGAAGAUAAUGACGGUACCUGACUAAGAAGCUCCGGCUAAAUACGUGCCAGCCGCCGCGGUAAUUC